This is a long non-coding RNA of Etheostoma spectabile (orangethroat darter), 195 nucleotides long. RefSeq lists it as uncharacterized. The record is from RefSeq and is a predicted model, not a curated record. The transcript is spliced from 3 exons. NCBI's taxonomy places the organism in Eukaryota, Metazoa, Chordata, Actinopteri, Perciformes, Percidae.
AGUACCUUCCCGCAAAAUACGUCUGCGUGUCCUCAGAGUUUGUUAAAGUUCGGCUACGCCUACGUGUGGAAAAUGGGAAAGUGUACUUUUAACAUGACAUGGCUAGAUCACAGCGUUUUCCAUUGUUGGUUACAAGCGGUACCCAGCUCCAGGUACGAGGCUCGCGGGACACUUCAAGGUUUCUGUCAUGGAAAA